GAUGAACGCUGGCGGCGUGCCUAAUACAUGCAAGUCGAGCGAACAGACGAGGAGCUUGCUCCUCUGACGUUAGCGGCGGACGGGUGAGUAACACGUGGAUAACCUACCUAUAAGACUGGGAUAACUUCGGGAAACCGGAGCUAAUACCGGAUAAUAUAUUGAACCGCAUGGUUCAAUAGUGAAAGACGGUUUGCUGUCACUUAUAGAUGGAUCCGCGCCGCAUUAGCUAGUUGGUAAGGUAACGGCUUACCAAGGCAACGAUGCGUAGCCGACCUGAGAGGGUGAUCGGCCACACUGGAACUGAGACACGGUCCAGACUCCUACGGGAGGCAGCAGUAGGGAUUCUUCCGCAAUGGGCGAAAGCCUGACGGAGCAACGCCGCGUGAGUGAUGAAGGUCUUCGGAUCGUAAAACUCUGUUAUUAGGGAAGAACAAAUGUGUAAGUAACUAUGCACGUCUUGACGGUACCUAAUCAGAAAGCCACGGCUAACUACGUG
RNAcentral lists this ribosomal RNA (496 nucleotides) under uncultured bacterium. Its description in RNAcentral is "partial 16S ribosomal RNA". It matches the Rfam family "Bacterial small subunit ribosomal RNA", at positions 28 to 507 of the family's 1533-position model. The record is from RNAcentral.